GAAUGGAGUCAUCUGAAGGCUCCACUGGGCUCCAUGUCCAGGACGGCUUUUUCCCUUUCAGGUCUGGUGCCUCAGCUGAGAAGACCAGAAUGCUGCGAAGAGACUGGCAUCUCUGUCUCUUCAGGAGGCCACUCCACUUGUUGGGAUUUAUUAAGAGAAGAUGUAUUUCUUCUGCUGGGUCACGAAGAACAUUUUUUUAUCUGUAUCCUCCAAGGAAGCUCAUGGCGAAAUAGAUAAAAUGUCAGAAAUAAUUAAGAAAAAUGCAGGGGAAUCCAACAACCUAAAAUUACACCUUUUGGUGAUGCCUAGUUUUCAUCUCCUUGGUCCCUUGACAGAUAUAAACUCCAACCUAUCACAUCCUUUAGAUGAUGGUGUGUUAAAUCACUGAGGAUGAACUCACGGUGCUGCAAAUGGGAGGAUGAGAAAGAAAGUCUCUUAGAACGCAGAGGUCAUGGGAUCUAGGAGGUCAAUAUACACUAUGCAAUAAAUAUACGAUCUAGAAUCUUUCAGAAUUGUGUCAAUCUC
This 525-nucleotide long non-coding RNA is filed under the name Equus caballus (horse). RNAcentral's name for it is "lncRNA (ENSECAG00000033551.2)". The record is from RNAcentral. Lineage: Eukaryota; Metazoa; Chordata; Mammalia; Perissodactyla; Equidae.